UGUGGCUAGUUGACCCUUAUGUCUGGAUGAAUGGAUGGAGAAAUCAACUAGGAUGGGUUAUGUGUGGGUGUGUGUGCUAAUGGAUGCUCUCAACAAGUCUGCCCAGGAACUAGGGUGAGGAUUCGUGAAUUGUUGAUAUGACAAUAGUUUGUUUAUGAAAAAUUACCUAAGAUCUGUUAUAUAUGUGGACAUCUUAGAUUGACCAUAGAAUCUUAUGCAUGCUCUACCAGUCGUAGUGUUAAUUAUAAACCUAUUCUAGGCC
RNAcentral lists this long non-coding RNA (262 nucleotides) under Elaeis guineensis (African oil palm). RNAcentral's name for it is "long non-coding RNA (EGUI_LNC009411)". The record is from RNAcentral. Lineage: Eukaryota; Viridiplantae; Streptophyta; Magnoliopsida; Arecales; Arecaceae.